RNAcentral lists this ribosomal RNA (274 nucleotides) under uncultured bacterium. RNAcentral's name for it is "partial 16S ribosomal RNA". It matches the Rfam family "Bacterial small subunit ribosomal RNA", at positions 523 to 796 of the family's 1533-position model. The record is from RNAcentral.
AUACAGAGGGUGCAAGCGUUAAUCGGAAUUACUGGGCGUAAAGCGCGCGUAGGCGGUUUGUUAAGUUGGAUGUGAAAGCCCCGGGCUUAACCUGGGAGGGUCAUUCAAAACUGGCAGACUAGAGUGUGGUAGAGGGUAGUGGAAUUCCUAGUGUAGCGGUGAAAUGCGUAGAGAUUAGGAGGAACACCAGUGGCGAAGGCGGCUUACUAGACCGUUUCUGACGCUGAGGAGCGAAAGCCAGGGGAGCGAACGAAAUUAGAUACCCCGGUAGUCC